RNAcentral lists this ribosomal RNA (196 nucleotides) under uncultured bacterium. Its description in RNAcentral is "partial 16S ribosomal RNA". It matches the Rfam family "Bacterial small subunit ribosomal RNA", at positions 1307 to 1500 of the family's 1533-position model. The record is from RNAcentral.
GCAACUCGCCUGCACGAAGUCGGAAUUGCUAGUAAUCGUAGGUCAGCAUACUACGGUGAAUACGUUCCCGGGCCUUGUACACACCGCCCGUCACACCAUGGGAGUUGGUGACGCCCGAAGCCAGUGACCCAACCGGAAACGGAGGGAGCUGUCGAAGGUGGGACCGAUAACUGGGGUGAAGUCGUAACAAGGUACC